CCUACGGGAGGCAGCAGUGGGGAAUAUUGGACAAUGGGCGCAAGCCUGACCCAGCCACGCCGCGUGCAGGAAGAAGGCUUUCGGGUUGUAAACUUCUUUUAAGAGGGAAGAGCAGAAGACGGUACCUCUUGAAUAAGCUACGGCUAACUACGGGCCAGCCGCCGCGGUAAUACGUAGGUGGCAAGCGUUGUCCGGAUGUAAUGGGUGUAAAGGAAGUGUAGCCGGGCUGACAAGUCAGAUGUGAAAUCCCGGGGCUCAACCACGGAACUGCAUUUGAAACUGUCGGGCUUGAGUCUCGGAGAGGCAGGCGGAAUUCCUAGUGUAGCGGUGAAAUGCGUAGAGAUUAGGAGGAACACCAGUGGCGAAGGCGGCCUGCUGGACGACAACUGACGGUGAGGCGCGAAAGCGUGGGGAGCAAACAGGAUUAGAUACCCCUGUAGUC
RNAcentral lists this ribosomal RNA (442 nucleotides) under uncultured bacterium. RNAcentral's name for it is "partial 16S ribosomal RNA". It matches the Rfam family "Bacterial small subunit ribosomal RNA", at positions 338 to 795 of the family's 1533-position model. The record is from RNAcentral.